AGAGAUGUGUGAUGACGCAUAUCAAUAAGCGGAGGAAAAGAAACUAACAAGGAUUCCCUUAGUAACGGCGAGUGAAGCGGGAAGAGCUCAAAUUUGAAAUCUUCAAGGUUCUACCUUGACGAAUUGUAGUUUAUAGAAGUGUUUUCUGUUAGUAGAGUGGCAAAAGUUCUUUGGAAUAGGACAUCAUAGAGGGUGAGAAUCCCGUAUUUGGUCAUUCUUUCUAGCUUUGUGAUACACUUUCAACGAGUCGGAUUGUUUGGGAAUGCAGUCCAAAAUGGGUGGUAAAUUUCAUCUAAAGCUAAAUAUUGGCGAGAGACCGAUAGCGAACAAGUACCGUGAGGGAAAGAUGAAAAGAACUUUGAAAAGAGAGUUAAACAGUACGUGAAAUUGUCAAAAGGGAAGCGUUUGACACCAGUGUUGUUUUUCCGAAAAUCAAUUACGAAUGUUUUAUUUUUGAGAAGUUAUGACUUCAUCGGCUUGCUUCUUUCUUUACUGAAACUUUCUUAAUGCACUUUUCGGUUAACAAGUCAACAUCAAUUUCUUUUGUUGUAAAAGAGUACUGAGGAAGGUGGCUUUCUUUUCGGAGAAAGUGUUUAUAGCCUUGUACCUCUGCAAUCGGAGAGAUUGAGGUCUGCAGCGUAGAUCCUUCGGGGUUAGAUACAUUUGUGCUAAGUUAUAGCUUUUCAUAGACAACUUGUUGACUAUGUUAGUCUUGUAGCUUACUCGCUUAUGCUAUUUUACCUACGCUUAGGAUGUUGACGAUCAGCUGAGCGCG
RNAcentral lists this ribosomal RNA (775 nucleotides) under uncultured Neocallimastigales. RNAcentral's name for it is "partial large subunit ribosomal RNA". It matches the Rfam family "Eukaryotic large subunit ribosomal RNA", at positions 23 to 646 of the family's 3401-position model. The record is from RNAcentral. Lineage: Eukaryota; Fungi; Neocallimastigomycota; Neocallimastigomycetes; Neocallimastigales.